This 456-nucleotide ribosomal RNA is filed under the name Simulium burtoni. RNAcentral describes it as "partial 16S ribosomal RNA". The record is from RNAcentral. Lineage: Eukaryota; Metazoa; Arthropoda; Insecta; Diptera; Simuliidae.
UUUUAAUAUAUCUAGUUUUUUAAGAAAUUAAUUUAAUUUAGAUAUUUAUUUUUAAUAUUUUAAUUUUUUAAAAUAUUAUAAGUUAAAUAUUAAUAUUUUAAGGGAUGAGCUUUAAAAUAAAAUUUUAUAAAUAAUUAUUAUUAAUUAAUAAUUGUAGGCUUAGAAUUAGCUAUCAAUAGAAAUUAUGUUUUAAUUUAUUUUAUAUUUAAUAUUAUUUAUUAUUUAUUUUACUUUUUUUAUUAAAAUAUAAAUUUUAAUUUUAUAAAUUUAGCAAUAAUGAUAAAAUUAGUAAAUAUAUAAUUUUAUAAAUACAUUUUUUAAUGGGUGGUUUUUAUAAUUAAUUCGGCAAAUUUUGUGUUCACCUGUNUAUCAAAAACAUGUCUUUUUAGUAUUUUAAUAUAAAGUCUGACCUGCCCCUGAAUAAAGUUUGAAGGGCCGCAGUAUUUUGACUGUGCA